UCUCUGUUGGUGAACCAGCGGAGGGAUCAUUACAGAGUUGCAAAACUCCCAAACCAUUGUGAACGUUACCUAUCCCGUUGCUUCGGCGGGCGGCCCGGGCCCCGCGCCCGGCGCCCCCCGGCCCCCCGUGGGCGCCCGCCGGAGGUAAACCAAACCCUUGAAUUGCAUGGCCUCUCUGAGUCUUCUGUACUGAAUAAGUCAAAACUUUCAACAACGGAUCUCUUGGUUCUG
This 231-nucleotide unclassified non-coding RNA is filed under the name plant metagenome. Its description in RNAcentral is "partial contains small subunit ribosomal RNA, internal transcribed spacer 1, and 5.8S ribosomal RNA". The record is from RNAcentral.